UCUCCGUAGGUGAACCUGCGGAGGGAUCAUUACAGAGUUCAUGCCCUACCGGGUAGAUCUCCCACCCUAUGUUAUUAUUACUUUGUUGCUUUGGCGGGCCGUUAGGCUCCGGCCCGACUACCGGCCCCGGCUGGUAAGCGCCCGCCAGAGGACCCAAAACCCUGAAUAUUAGUGUCGUCUGAGUACUAUAUAAUAGUUAAAACUUUCAACAACGGAUCUCUUGGUCCUGGCAUCGAUGGAGAACGCAG
This 248-nucleotide unclassified non-coding RNA is filed under the name plant metagenome. RNAcentral describes it as "partial contains small subunit ribosomal RNA, internal transcribed spacer 1, and 5.8S ribosomal RNA". The record is from RNAcentral.